UCCCCAAUUCCCACUAAAAUUUAACCUAAUUCGCGUCAAUUUUUUAGUUUUUUUUUUUUAUAAUUUGGUGCUUAAUUUAGGGUGGUGAAGGGGUUUAUGCUAGUGCAUUCGGUGGGUUUCUUCCCCUCUCGGCCACACAGGUUUUCUUUUUCUUUUUUUUUCCAUUAAUCCCCCAAUUGCGCAUUCUAAUGUUGCAUUGCUCCAUUUGCUCUUAAGCUCUUUAUUGAGUUUUAUUUUGGCCAUUAAUUUUUAAAUCGUAUCAUCUAAUGCUCAUGAAUUUGCAUAAAUUAUUGAUUCAUGGUGAAUCAAAGCAUUCUCUUACUUUAUAAGGCUUUUUGUCCAUUGAUGAUCUUUAGAGUGAUCUCAACAUAUGCAUCAGAAAUGUUAAGAUUGAACCAUAUGGCCAAUUUUGGAGUGGUAUUAAUAACUGACGUAUACUCUUUUCCAGGCAAAAUUUAUUGCUUUGCUGGUCUUGAUUUCAUGGGCUGUAGACUUUGUGGUUCAUGACUAUAUUCUCAUGCCUUUUUUAGAUAGGUACUACUUUGAUGUCACCGAUUGUUUCUAGAGCAAGUGGCAAAGAACUUGGUGGUUGGUAUCCGAGAUCUAAGUUCGAAUUUUAGUUGAUUCACAUUUCUAGCUAAGUUUAUUUCUAAAUGAAAUAAACGAAGCGUGUAGCGUAUUAUCUAUCUCUCAAAAAAAAAAUUUACUUUGAUGCCUAUUAGUAUGAGAUGUAUAUUUUUUAUGCUAUCAUUUUGCAACACACCUACUGUGCUUUUCUGGAUGUUCAGAAUUUUCAAUAUCUUUAGAGAGAACAAUAAGCUGUAGGAAAGAAAAAGGAAAAAAAAUAAUCUGUAGGACUUUGUUAAAUAUUUGAUGCGGUCCUUUGUGAUAAUUCUAUUUAGCGUUAAGCUACCUAAUUAUUAGCCGUUGUCUGUUGCUUUGUUAUAAAAUUUUUAUUUCCUUACAAUCAUACCAACAAACAUCAAAUAAAUGCUAAUAUGCAGUUUAUAUGAAAAAUGAAAAAAGAAUAUCUCUAUAUUUGUUAUGAAAUAAUGAAUGACACUCAAGCAAUUUUUUUUUUUUUUAGGAUCGCUGACUAAAUUUUUUUAUUUUAGCAUUUGUGAACUAUUAUAUCAAAAAAAUUUAUUUAUAUAUUAUAAGAUUUAUAAUUAAAUAUUUGCGUCAAAAUUAUCCGCGGUGAAGCGCGGGUACUACACUCGUAUUGAUUAUUGAAUACACACAUUACA
Molecule: long non-coding RNA, 1247 nt
Filed under: Ananas comosus (pineapple)
Lineage: Eukaryota; Viridiplantae; Streptophyta; Magnoliopsida; Poales; Bromeliaceae
Description: long non-coding RNA (ACOM_LNC026489)
Source: RNAcentral